GGGAAAGACUUGGGUGGCCAUAGCCAACGAUUGCGGCCAACCCUGCAAGCGGGGAGCGUUUGCGACGCGUGACAAGCAUCGACGACCUCCAGAGCACGGCCAUGCGUACUCCCGGCCCUUUCUUCCUGGCUGCCAUGCGUACUCCCGGCCCUUUCUUCCUGGCUGCCAUGCCGACAGGGCCUCGCAGGCAACCAUUUUGGCAGUAGGCGCCUGCGGCCUUCUUCCUGGCUGCCACUUGGUCUCC
RNAcentral lists this long non-coding RNA (244 nucleotides) under Setaria viridis. Its description in RNAcentral is "long non-coding RNA (SVIR_LNC002834)". Lineage: Eukaryota; Viridiplantae; Streptophyta; Magnoliopsida; Poales; Poaceae. The record is from RNAcentral.